RNAcentral lists this ribosomal RNA (614 nucleotides) under uncultured Bacilli bacterium. Its description in RNAcentral is "bacterial SSU rRNA". It matches the Rfam family "Bacterial small subunit ribosomal RNA", at positions 1 to 594 of the family's 1533-position model. The record is from RNAcentral. Lineage: Bacteria; Bacillati; Bacillota; Bacilli.
CGCGGCCGCAGAGUUUGAUCAUGGCUCAGGAUGAACGCUGGCGGCGUGUCUAAUACAUGCAAGUCGAGCGAACUGAUUAGAAGCUUGCUUCUAUGACGUUAGCGGCGGACGGGUGAGUAACACGUGGGCAACCUGCCUGUAAGACUGGGAUAACUUCGGGAAACCGAAGCUAAUACCGGAUAGGAUCUUCUCCUUCAUGGGAAAUGAUUGAAAGAUGGUUUCGGCUAUCACUUACAGAUGGGCCCGCGGUGCAUUAGCUAGUUGGUGAGGUAACGGCUCACCAAGGCAACGAUGCAUAGCCGACCUGAGAGGGUGAUCGGCCACACUGGGACUGAGACACGGCCCAGACUCCUACGGGAGGCAGCAGUAGGGAAUCUUCCGCAAUGGACGAAAGUCUGACGGAGCAACGCCGCGUGAGUGAUGGAGGCUUUCGGGUCGUAAAACUCUGUUGUUAGGGAAGAACAAGUACGAGAGUAACUGCUCGUACCUUGACGGUACCUAACCAGAAAGCCACGGCUAACUACGUGCCAGCAGCCGCGGUAAUACGUAGGUGGCAAGCGUUAUCCGGAAUUAUUGGGCGUAAAGCGCGCGCAGGCGGUUUCUUAAGUCUGGUG